RNAcentral lists this ribosomal RNA (628 nucleotides) under Orphnus sp. BMNH 793037. RNAcentral's name for it is "eukaryotic LSU rRNA". It matches the Rfam family "Eukaryotic large subunit ribosomal RNA", at positions 670 to 1255 of the family's 3401-position model. Lineage: Eukaryota; Metazoa; Arthropoda; Insecta; Coleoptera; Scarabaeidae. The record is from RNAcentral.
GGAGUCUAGCAUGUGCGCGAGUCAUUGGGACCACGACUAAACCUAAAGGCGCAAUGAAAGUGAAGGUCCGCCGUGCGCGGACCGAGGGAGGAUGGGCGGUUCCGAGGAACCGCCCCGCACUCCCGGGGCGUCUCGAUCUCAUCGCGAGAUGAGGCGCACCCAGAGCGUACACGCUGGGACCCGAAAGAUGGUGAACUAUGCCUGGUCAGGACGAAGUCAGGGGAAACCCUGAUGGAGGUCCGUAGCGAUUCUGACGUGCAAAUCGAUCGUCGGAACUGGGUAUAGGGGCGAAAGACUAAUCGAACCAUCUAGUAGCUGGUUCCCUCCGAAGUUUCCCUCAGGAUAGCUGGCGCUCGCUUCUCGCGAGUCUCAUUCGGUAAAGCGAAUGAUUAGAGGCAUUGGGGUCGAAACGGCCUCAACCUAUUCUCAAACUUUAAAUGGGUGAGAUCUCCGGCUUGCUUGAACUGUGAAGCCGCGAGAUAUCGGAUCAGAGUGCCAAGUGGGCCACUUUUGGUAAGCAGAACUGGCGCUGUGGGAUGAACCAAACGCCGAGUUAAAGCGCCUAAAUCGACGCUUAUGGGAUACCAUGAAAGGCGUUGGUAACUUAAGACAGCAGGACGGUGGCCAU